UCUGAGUCUGCAGCUGUGAAUGAGCUUGAAGAGGCUAUCUCCUUGGUUACUUGAAGCAUGUGCUAAGAGGGCAGAGAAAACCAGAUAGCUGGGAUAACCACUUCCCUUCAAAUAGAGGAGACAGCCGAGUUCCCCAGAGGAGGCAUCUGAAGCACAAGACAAAAUAAUUUGCGGUGUCACCGAGUCACUGGAGCACCAGAGAGCCACCAUCCCACCAAACCUUCCUCACCAAGAUGCAGGUGAAGCAGAAGGUGCAGACUGACCACUCAGCUACAAGAAAUGACCAUUGAAAGAAAGUAACAGUGAGAUCGCCUGAUCUUUAUCACAGAAGAGAGCAUGAAGAAUAGGUCCCAUCAUAGAGAAUUUGUUUUUGAAGACAGGAGAAACAUCUUCACAGACUCUGGAGGGUACACACCUGUGGAGUAGACAUCAGGGAAAUUCUUAGACAGCUAUUUCGGCAAGCCUCCUGAGAGAGCUCAUGCAACUCCACCUCCCAUCAUCUACACAGCCUGCCUCUACUGACAUAGGGUCAGCAUAGGUUUACUGUAAAUUGUGGAGGUGCCAUGAUCACUAGAAGAGUGACUCUGGUCUUGGAAUCAAGGCAAUACUUCAAUGUGAAGCACCGAAAGAAUAACUGAUGGGGAAAGGAAGAUGCAUGGAACUUCAAAUUAUAUAUACAGAAGGAAAUAAUCAAGCUAUUAUAUAAGAUACAAAAUUGAUUUCUCGUUAUCCUACUUUAUUACAUUUCUACCAGACACAUGAAACUAUCUCUGAAUACACACAUUAAGUAUUUAA
Long non-coding RNA from Peromyscus eremicus (cactus mouse), 795 nucleotides. RefSeq lists it as uncharacterized. The transcript has 5 exons. Lineage: Eukaryota; Metazoa; Chordata; Mammalia; Rodentia; Cricetidae. The record is from RefSeq and is a predicted model, not a curated record.